This 1660-nucleotide long non-coding RNA is filed under the name Triticum aestivum (bread wheat). RNAcentral's name for it is "long non-coding RNA (TAES_LNC003012)". The record is from RNAcentral. Lineage: Eukaryota; Viridiplantae; Streptophyta; Magnoliopsida; Poales; Poaceae.
UAGAUUUAAGGAGGAGGGCCGUAGGUGCUUUGGAGAAUGCCUAUUUUUUUUUUGUUAAUAUGAUCGAUGCAUUCUGUUCAAGCUUUAUAGUCAAAACAAAACUGAAUAUCUUCUUCUUCCAGAAAAAGAAAAGUAGUCGCACUUGUUUGCCGAAAAAUCUUCUUGUCAACGAAAAUGUGACCUGAGGGUCAACGAUUAAUUACAGGAUGACCUAACUUGGUGAUUUCAUGAUUUCCAAUAUGCACAAGGUAGCUCCUAUUUUGCCUUCUAUUCUUUCUAGGUGCACAUUUUUCUUUCACAUGUGAACAAUUGCCAUUGUUGUGUGUGUAAUAUUGCACUAUCUAUGUGGUUAACUAGUUAUAGCUACUAUUAUUCUUCUUGAAUCAUGACUACUUUUGUGUGAUAGAACUGUCCAGAUGCAUCGAGGGAUACUAUUUGAUCAUACGGCUAUUUUCUUAUUUGAACAUACGCUAGUCUAUUUGAAAAUCCCAAAGGUUUAUAGGAUUGAUAUCUAAUAUGAUUCUGCAUUUGCUUGUUAGCCUAAGUUUAUCCGAACUUUAUAUGUAAAUAUUUGUAUUGCCUAAUUUCGCCAGUAGUUGCCAAUCUCACCUAUGAACAGAAUCUGCACCAGAGUGUUUUUUUGUACAAGAUAAAUAAUGUUUUAUAAUCUGUUCCAUUAUUAGAGUUAGGAUGAUCCACAAAAUAGCUAGCAGUUCUGCCAGUUCCAGCAUAGAAGCAUACCUCAGGUUGUGUUUUGGGAUGAAUUUGAUUCAUCUCUAUUUUUUCUUCCAUGUGGUAUGUGCAGCACACAGCGAGAUAGCAUUGUUGAUGCAUAUUUAUUUGAUUAGAUCAUGGGCAAUAAGUGCUUGGCACUUGUACACACAUGUGCUAAUUGAAUCUUAUUUGUUAUUAGGUUUGAUCUCUCCCAGCACAAGAAGCUUGAUGAGCAAUAAGCAGUAGUAAUGGAGGCAGAUGCAAUAGCUUUUCUGUUGUGUGCCGUCAAGUAGCAAAAGUUGAUGCAAUGCGAUUAUUUUGGUCCUUCAUAAUUAGUUUUGCAUGAGAUGUACCGAAAAUGAUCCUCGCUUGCUAUAUUACACUUGAUAAGUUAUGUAUGUGUGUCUCUUCUGUUGUGUUUGGUCGGGGAUCGUGCAAUUUGAAAUGUAUGUUUAGUUAUGAUUUCAAGUGGAUAGAUUAAUGUUCUCAUGUACUCUAAUAUUGGUGAUGAUCUUCACAUACUUUUAGUGACCAGCAUGCUCAAAUGUAUGGAUUUCUUGCAUGGUCCUUGAUGUAGUAGAAGCUACUAAUGAAAUCAAAUAUACAUGGAAUCUCGUACAGUACAUAUGUAUGUGCGGUUUUGUGUAAAUCUAAUAGGAGAGGGGCACUCGUACAUGUUUGAAUUUUUUUCUUAUUUAUGAAGCACAACUUGAUUGAUAUCUGAGAGAUCUGAGGAUAUAUGAGAGAUCUGAGGUGGUUACUGUAAGGACAACUUGAUUGAUGUAUGAGAGAUUUGAGGUGGUUACUGUAAGGACAACUUGAUUGAUAUAUGAGAGAUUUGAGGUGGUUACUGUAAAAGUUAUGUUCUAUAUGUAAAUAGUACUGGAGGGUUUUCAAGAAAUAUACACUGAGAACCCUCCAUCUAAAUCUAUACCAGUCAUCUUCC